AUGCAAGUGACCACAAUGAUUCCAGUGCAUUGACCAUCACCAAGAAAAGAAAGAGCCUUCACUGGAAAAAGAAAGAAAGAAAAAAAACAGGGUGCCCUGGACCAAAGCUGACACUGAAAUCCUUAAGCGCAUAUUUCAUCCAUGUAUUAC
Molecule: long non-coding RNA, 150 nt
Organism: Pecten maximus
Lineage: Eukaryota; Metazoa; Mollusca; Bivalvia; Pectinida; Pectinidae
Exons: 2
Source: RefSeq, a predicted model, not a curated record